Molecule: ribosomal RNA, 292 nt
Filed under: uncultured bacterium
Lineage: Bacteria
Also listed under: 1 other name
Description: partial 16S ribosomal RNA
Source: RNAcentral
GGACUACAGGGGUAUCUAAUCCCGUUUGCUCCCCUGGCUUUCGCGCCUCAGCGUCAGGAGGGGUCCAGCACGCCGCUUUCGCCACCGGCGUUCCUUCCGAUAUCUACGCAUUUCACCGCUCCACCGGAAGUUCCGCAUGCCCCUACCCCCCUCGAGCUCCCCAGUAUCAGGGGCCCUUGCCCGGUUGGGCCGGGCGAUUUCACCCCUGACUUGAGAAGCCGCCUACGCGCCCUUUAAGCCCAGUGAAUCCGAACAACGUUCGCACGGUUCGUCUUACCGCGGCUGCUGGCAC